Poecilia latipinna (sailfin molly) is the source of this 589-nucleotide long non-coding RNA. RefSeq lists it as uncharacterized. NCBI's taxonomy places the organism in Eukaryota, Metazoa, Chordata, Actinopteri, Cyprinodontiformes, Poeciliidae. The record is from RefSeq and is a predicted model, not a curated record. The transcript is spliced from 3 exons.
UGGACCUUUGAUAUCAAUUAAUUAAAAACCAAAAACUCAUCGACAGUCCAGGACUCUGCGUUUCCAGAUCAGAGGAUCAAACCACAAGUCUUUGUCCCAUCAGUUGAUCAGCUGAUCAACCUGCAGAUUGAUCACAGCAGGUCAAAACUCCAGGACUCAGGUAGAUCAUUCAAGGAUUAAAUGGGAUAAAAAUGAUUUUAAAUAAACAUCUGAACAGAUUUUACUACAAAACUGAACCUAAUCCAACUUAAAAUUAAUCAAACUUCACCAAAUGUUCCACAUUUAUUAUUAUUUUCUUUUAGUUUCUACAAGAGAAGAAUCUGGAGGAAGACGAGACGUCAACUCCGCCCCCUGCUGGUGCUUCUAGAGAACUACACAUGUAAAACCAACGUCUCAUCUGGUCCAUAAGGUUUCUGGUCCGAUCAAAACAGGCGAUGAAGAGGAGCAGGCGAUGAAGAGGAGCAGAUGAUGAAGAGGAGCAGAUGAUGAAGAGGAGCAGCUUCAGGUGGAAACAUCUCAGAUUUAUUGGAAACAUCAAUAAAAACAAACAUGGAGGCUCAAGAGAAACAGACUGGAGGGAAAAAGAUCU